UACCAGCACCCCGAGUGGUCGGGACGAUUAUUGGGCCUAAAGCAUCCGUAGCCGGUUCUACAAGUCUUCCGUUAAAUCCACCUGCUUAACAGAUGGGCUGCGGAGGAUACUAUAGAGCUAGGAGGCGGGAGAGGCAAGCGGUACUUAGUGGGUAGGGGUAAAAUCCGUUGAUCCAUUGAAGACCACCAGUGGCGAAGGCGGCUUGCCAGAACGCACUCGACGGUGAGGGAUGAAGCUGGGGGAGCAACCGG
Molecule: ribosomal RNA, 251 nt
Filed under: uncultured bacterium
Lineage: Bacteria
Description: partial 16S ribosomal RNA
Rfam family: Archaeal small subunit ribosomal RNA
Source: RNAcentral